GAUUCCUCUUCUCUCCCUCUGUCAGGAUCUGUUCUUCAUUUCUUCCUGUCUGCUCUAGUUUUCUUUAAAACAGGAAGAAAUGAAGAACAGAUCCUGACAGAGGGAGAGACAAGGAAUC
Molecule: non-coding RNA, 118 nt
Organism: Pelobates cultripes (western spadefoot toad)
Lineage: Eukaryota; Metazoa; Chordata; Amphibia; Anura; Pelobatidae
Source: the annotation of a GenBank genome assembly